Long non-coding RNA from Rosa chinensis, 473 nucleotides. RefSeq lists it as uncharacterized. The transcript is spliced from 2 exons. Lineage: Eukaryota; Viridiplantae; Streptophyta; Magnoliopsida; Rosales; Rosaceae. The record is from RefSeq and is a predicted model, not a curated record.
CGUAGCUAUGUUGCUUGUUUUUGCCAACAAACAAGAUCUCCCCAUUCCCCAAUGCAAUGAAUGCUGCUGAAAUUACUGGUAAGCUUGGCCUCCACUCUCUCCAACAACGUCACUAGUAACUUCAUGAGCUUCAUGACCCCUCCGCUUCUGUCAUUCAUUCAAUCUUCAUUACUCUAAUAUGUGUCAUUUGUCUUUACAAAUACAUCGAGAACACUCGUGCAACCUCUGGAGAGGGUCUAUAUGAAGGCCUGGAUUGGCUCUCCAACAACAUUGCUAACAAGGCUUGAUCCCUAUUUGGGAGUCAUUUCGAGGACUAGCAAUUCUGGAUGCAUAAAUGAAUAUUAUCUAGUUUGUUUUAGUGAAUAUGUGGAAAGCUAGAAUGCAGUUUUAUGUAGAUUAGGAUCAACAGGUAUUGUUAUUAUAAUAAUUGAAGUGAUUUAUUAACUUUCAGUGAAGUGAUCUUAUCUUUCUUC